Long non-coding RNA from Oncorhynchus keta (chum salmon), 243 nucleotides. RefSeq lists it as uncharacterized. The record is from RefSeq and is a predicted model, not a curated record. Lineage: Eukaryota; Metazoa; Chordata; Actinopteri; Salmoniformes; Salmonidae. The transcript has 3 exons.
GUUCAGACUAAAGGAGCUGGGCCUGCUCUGAGGAAGUCUCAUUGUUCAGACUAAAGGAGCUGGGCCUGCUCUGAGGAGGUCUCAUUGUUCAGACUAAAGGAGCUGGGCGAGGUGAGCCUGCUCUGAGGAGGUCUCAUUGUUCAGACUAAAGGAGCUGGGCGAGGUGAGCCUGCUCUGAGGAAGUCUCAUUGUUCAGACUAAAGGAGCUGGGCGAGGUGAGCCUGCUCUGAGGAGGUCUCAUUG